GACAGAGGGUGCAAACGUUGUUCGGAAUUACUGGGCGUAAAGCGUGUGUAGGCGGUCUACUAAGUCGGGUGUGAAAGCCCUGGGCUCAACCCAGGAAGUGCACUCGAAACUGGCAGGCUAGAGUACUGGAGAGGUUGGUGGAAUUCUCGGUGUAGAGGUGAAAUUCGUAGAUAUCGAGAGGAACACCGGUGGCGAAGGCGCACAUCUGGCCCGAUACUGACGCUGAGGCGCGAAAGCUAGGGGAGCAAACGGG
This 253-nucleotide ribosomal RNA is filed under the name uncultured bacterium. RNAcentral's name for it is "partial 16S ribosomal RNA". It matches the Rfam family "Bacterial small subunit ribosomal RNA", at positions 524 to 776 of the family's 1533-position model. The record is from RNAcentral.